GACGAACGCUGGCGGCGUGCCUAAUACAUGCAAGUCGAACGCUUCUUUCCUCCCAAGUGCUUGCACUCAAUUGGAAAGAGGGGUGGCGGACGGGUGAGUAACACGUGUGUAACCUACCCAUCAGAGGGGGAUAACACCUGAAAACAGUUGCUAAUACCGCAUAACAGUUUAUGCCGCAUGGCAUCAGAGUUUACGGCGCUGUCUGGGGUGGCUGAUGGAUGGAUCGGCGGCGCGUUAACUAGUUGGUGGGGUAACGGCCCACCAAGGCGACGAGCCGUAGCUGGACGGAGAGGAGGAGCGGCCACACGGGAACUGAGACACGGUCCAGACUCCUACGGGAGGCAGCAGUGGGGAAUAUUGGACAAUGGGCGCAAGCCUGAUCCAGCCAUACCGCGUGGGUGAAGAAGGCCUUCGGGUUGUAAAGCCCUUUUGUUGGGAAAGAAAAGCAGCAGGUGAAUACCCCGCUGUUCUGACGGUACCCAAAGAAUAAGCAACGGCUAACUUCGUG
This 508-nucleotide ribosomal RNA is filed under the name uncultured bacterium. RNAcentral describes it as "partial 16S ribosomal RNA". It matches the Rfam family "Bacterial small subunit ribosomal RNA", at positions 28 to 507 of the family's 1533-position model. The record is from RNAcentral.